GGACGAAAGUCUGACGGAGCAACGCCGCGUGAGUGAAGAAGGUUUUCGGAUCGUAAAACUCUGUUUUCAGGGACGAAUGUGCAAUAUGUGAAUAAUGUGUUGUAAUGACGGUACCUGACAAGAAAGCCACGGCUAACUACGUGCCAGCAGCCGCGGUAAUACGUAGGUGGCAAGCGUUGUCCGGAAUUAUUGGGCGUAAAGCGCGCGCAGGUGGGAUAAUCAGUCUGAUGUUAAAGUUCGGGGCUCAACCCCGUGAAGCAUUGGAUACUGUUAUUCUUGAGUGCAGGAGAGGAAAGUGGAAUUCCUAGUGUAGCGGUGAAAUGCGUAGAUAUUAGGAGGAACACCAGUGGCGAAGGCGACUUUCUGGACUGUGUCUGACACUGAGGCGCGAAAGCCAGGGUAGUGAACGGGAUUAGAUACCCCGGUAAUCCUGGCCGUAAACGAUGGGUACUAGGUGUUGGGGGUAUCGACCCCUCCAGUGCCGGAGUUAACGCAAUAAGUACCCCGCCUGGGGAGUAC
This 519-nucleotide ribosomal RNA is filed under the name uncultured bacterium. RNAcentral describes it as "bacterial SSU rRNA". It matches the Rfam family "Bacterial small subunit ribosomal RNA", at positions 373 to 883 of the family's 1533-position model. The record is from RNAcentral.